This is a long non-coding RNA of Polyodon spathula (Mississippi paddlefish), 3845 nucleotides long. RefSeq lists it as uncharacterized. NCBI's taxonomy places the organism in Eukaryota, Metazoa, Chordata, Actinopteri, Acipenseriformes, Polyodontidae. The record is from RefSeq and is a predicted model, not a curated record. The transcript has 4 exons.
GAUUGACAUUUUUCACAUACACUAUUAAAGAGCGUGAAAUGUGUGUAAUUGUAUUGUCUCUGUUCACAGCAUUCGAGCUAGGAAACUAACAGCUGCUGUGCAUUGCAAGUCUACUGGAGGUGGUGUUUCUCUUGUGCAGGGAUGAUGAUUAGUUGAAUACAGGAUUCACCCUGAUGGACCCUAAUGGAAAUAUAUUCCUUAGUUCAAACUGAGCUCCUCCUCUUCACAAUGGUCAGGUCUGUUGCACAGGCUGUGCUGCUGAACAGUGUGUUUGUUUUGAAACUGAUACCCAACAAGUUCAUUUAACCUGGACUUGACUUGUUUGUACAGUGUAGGAGUUCAGGAAAUUAUGACAUGGUGUGCUAAAUUAUUAUUAAUCAGUACAAUGCACAAACACACAGUAUAUGAACUGCAGCAUGCGGUUGCUGAAAGCCUUAGCGCUGUGUGUUUGAGAGUUUUUUCUAGAUCUGUGUCUAAAAUCCACUAUAGACACUAAAGAAAGGAAUGCUUUGGCUUCAUUGGCAGGGCUGAGUAUCGAAGGUUGCGGCGCACAGAAACUCACUCUAACAGGAAUUGAUAAGUGUACUAUCAUGAAUGCCUUCCAUCCAGAGUAUGUAAAAAUGUAGGUGUGGCAAACAAGUGGUUCUGUAUAUUCACCUGUAUCUUCAUCUAUUCAAAAUGCUCAAUCAGAGAAGGUAAAACUCAACUUCGAUCAGAUAAAUAAAAAGUUUGCAGAAUAUUCCUCUAGCCUGCAUAAAUCAGAUCUACUUAUCAAGACUCGAUAUGAAUCUAAAUCUAAACUGCAGUAAGACUUAAAUCACAGCCACAUAGAUAAACCAAUGAGAUAAACCAGUGAGGCAGGUAAACCAGUUAGAUAGAUAAACCAGUGAGACAGGUAAACCAGUGAGAUAGGUAAACCAGUAAGACAGGUAAACUAGUGAGACACGUAAACCAGUGAGAUAGAUAAACCAGUGAAGCAGGUAAACCAGUGAGACAGGUAAACCAGUGAGAUAGACAAAACAGUGAGACAGAUAAACCAGUGAGAUAUCUGAACUGGCCGGAGAGGAGCUGGCCGUUUUUUUUUAGCUGUGCUCCGGAGCAGAGCUGGAUUCAAGCUCACCAGAGUGCUCCGGAGCCCGAAGCCAGAGCUGAGGUCCUGGAUCUGCUCCACUCUCUCCUACCUUAUAUUAAACACUCUGAUAUAGUAAGUCCAGUUUGCUUGAAUUAACAGAAUAUGUAACUUCAUAGGUAUUGUUAUGUGUUGGGGGUGAUGAAAUAAAAGCAUUUCUCACACCAGCUAUUAGUAAAUAACACAUUAUUUUUAUUUAUUUGACUCCUGUAAGACCUUCCCUUUCUUAGUUCCACAGCUGAUUCUAUCAUUACAGUGCACAUCUCUUGUAAAACACUUGCAGAAGAAAGCAAUUCUAUUUUCACACUACACUCUUCUAAGUAUUUUCAAAUUAUGUCAUUUUAACCAAACCCUUGCUCUGCCUAAAUUCACCUCAUUUUACAGCAAUCUGUUUUCAGAAAUUAUGUCCUGACUUUUGAUUGUCCAAAAGUUGGUUGCCAGGGAGUUAAGAUCACCUGCUAGAGUCAUGGGGCCCCCUGCACUGAAUUGCUUCAGAAGAUAAGGCCUCUUUCUGACCAACUCCCAAAUCACUCACUCCAGCACAGUUUCACUACUUGUUUACUUAAAAUGAGAAACUUGUUUUUCCACUUUUGAGUGACAAUCCCAUUAGCCCAACCCCCAAAUGCUUCAGUUUAACAUAUUGCAUCAAUACCACUUCAGUGUUCUCCAUAUCAACAUGGCACAGGAAGAGCAAACUGAGGAAUGUUAUAAAGAUGUUGUUUUCAACAUUUACAGCAGGGCAAAACACAAUAUAAGCUGUGCCAUGAGAAUCUGAGUGAGAAGUCUUUCAAUCAGAAAAGGCACCUGGAAAGACAUCUCUCAAAUAUUCACAAAAAAAAAAAUACUUCAGGAGCAAGACAAAAAGAAGAAACAGCAACCUCAGCUAAAAGAUUUUUUUUAAAAUGCCAUCUGGGAGUUUGAAAAUGUCAUCAGAAAAAAAAUGAGAUGUUGACAAAGCUAUACUGGAGUGGAUUGCUCUUGAUCUGUAGAAACACCUUCAUUUAGUGUGAAACAGCUUUUUAGAAAUCAGCCAUCUCUAUGACCAAGACCAGAGACACAGCUGGAAACAAAGUGGAGACAGACUGAGGACUGCAGGCAGGAGACAAAGAGUGUCAACAUCACAUUUACUACUCGUGGCAUUAAGACCAGCUUGGAUCAUUUUUGGAAGUCUCCUGCCUCGUCCUACUGCCAGGUAGGGGAUCUUCAAUCCAGAUUCACUGGAGAUGUUGAAACAGAAGCGACAGAACAUGCAGGAUGAGAAGUGCUACACAGUGCCAGUUGAGACAAUGUAUUGCAGUGGACUGAAGGAGUGCUCCUGGGACACUUGCGAGCCCCUCCCACAGUCCUGGGCAGCUGCUGGGAGGAAUCCAGGGAGGGAGACAAAGCGUCCCUCAGACACUGUGGAGUCUCUACCAUCCAGGGUCUUUCUGUGCACUCCACUUUAUCAGAGAGAACGCUCCCUUUCUGAACUAGUUUAAAAAGUUCAUGAGGACGGAUGCCCCCAUCACACUUAUCUGGUUGUUCUGCUGAGUAUAAAAAAGCAGCCUCCUCCUUUUUCAUUUUCUUGACUGUUUCUAAAUGUAUCACUAUUGAGUGUUUAAUAGGUAGGGUGAUCUUUUUAGCAUGGAACAUUGACCUUCUCAUGAUCUCUGCACCUGCUCUAGUUCAUGGAACAUUGACCUUCUCGUCAUCUCUGCACCUGGACUGCUUCAUGAAGCAUUAAGCUUCUCAUUAUCUCUGCACCUGGACUCUGGAUUAGUUCAAGACAAAACAAGCUUGUAAAAUAACACAAAAAAAUACUUUGAAUAAAAACCCAUUCAUUCAUUUAAAGUUGUGCACAGUUUUUCAGAUCUCCAUAUGAAGCAUGCAAUAGGAUUUUCAACACUAACAGUAUUGGGGAGAUUCCUAAUAAAGUGUCCAUUUCCUAUAUUGUGUAUUGUGAUUAACUUUUAGGUCUUGGUUUUGUCUUCCAAUUCUCCUCUUGGCAAUGCACAGCUUUGGCUUUCUGGUUUGAGAACAGGACCUUGAUGGAUUCUCCAGUGACUCAGCAGGAACUCAAUUUGUCCUGAAGAGCAGCUCAGACCUGCUGCAGCCCCCAGUGGAAAGCCGGUCACUGCCAUAUUAUGACAACCCUGCCAGGAGGAAGGACAAGACAGACUCACAGGCAGCUUGAGUGCGCAUAGACAAUAUGUAAGGCCGUCACUGGCUGGGUUUGUUUCAGGGUGGGAAAGGCUGUAAUAGGGAUUUAUAAACUGAGACGCACCACUGUCUGGUUUUCUGUCAGACAAAUAUCAAUUCAUAAUUGAAGCAUUUGUUCAACUUCCUGACCCGUAGUACUGACUUUUACAGCAGGUUGUAAGGAUUAGCAAAUAGUCAAACUACAGGCCCCUGAAGAUUGCCAGACAAUGAGGGUCUGGAAAAUUCCAUUCACUAGAUCAGGAUUUAAUCAAAAUUUGAAUGGUUUAACAUUGAUCCAGAUUAGAUCUGUAGAUUUAGGAGUACUCUCUCUGGGGGAGGUAUGUGCCUGUCUUGUCCUCUCUUCAGAGAGACUUCCAUCUGCAAUAAAGGUUCUGGACUGAUAACUAUUAUGUGUAUGCAUUUCAUUCCGAUCACAUAGGUCUACUUUAUUAGGUAUUUGUGACAAAAAUAUGAGUUCUGGUGAUAAAUCUUCCUCCCGACCUGUGAGGGCGCUAAAGAACGAGAGGAGAAGUAUCUG